Molecule: long non-coding RNA, 2197 nt
Filed under: Pan troglodytes (chimpanzee)
Lineage: Eukaryota; Metazoa; Chordata; Mammalia; Primates; Hominidae
Description: lincRNA
Source: RNAcentral
GGGAGACGUUUGAGACCGAGCGUCUCUAGAUCUCGUAUUUGAAUUUGUGGCGCUUGGUGUCCGCGAGUUGCCGAAUGAAGCUGAGCGUCUCAGUGGAACCAGGGAUCUCAGGGAGACAGGGUCUGGCUUUGUUGCCCUGGUCUUGAACUCCUGGCUUCAAGUGAUUUUCCUGCCUCAGCCUCCUGAAGUGCUGGAAUUACAGGCAUGAGCUGCCACACCUGCGCCUGCCCCUGGCUCAGCGCCCGGUGCCAACAGAACACCUUUCAGGAUCCACAGCAACGCAGACAACGUAAGUACCAGCCGUUCCCUGAAACCCUUUUGCAGAUUUUUUAAAAACACCCACCUAAAACAGAGAGAGAGAGAGACAAGCCUCUUUCCCCUUCUUCUCCCCUGCGUUAUGCCACCAGUGUUUCCUCAGUAGCCCCUUCCAAAUCCCUCUGCCUUCAAGUUUGUGCAUGUCUGUGUGGCAUCCCUCCUCCUCCUUCACUCCCAUAGUGGAUCUUGUAAAAGGGCUUCAGAUCGGCCCCAUUCAUCUCCCUGGUGAUAGCAGUGAAUGUAGAUAAAUCUCUGGCUGCCUGCUUGCUGCUGGAGUAUGAUUUUUAUUUUGUCUUCUGUGUAUACCUGGGUCAAAAAGUGGGAUGUAUGCAUACACAUACAUGCACAUACACAUAUUUCCUUCUCUCUCCUCUCUCUCCUUCCUUUUUCUCACACAUGCAUACAUCCUACAUAUGUGUGUAUAUGCAUAAACAUAUACACCUAUAUACAUACCCAUACCUGUAGCACAAAAUAUAUACAUAUCUAAACGUUUGUCUGAAAAUAUGCAUAUUUAUAUACACAUACAACCUUACACAUGUGUUUAUACGCAAUCGAUAGGUGCCUAUCUUUUAAUUUAUACCCAUCUAUAUCUCCAUUUAAAUAUUCCCUCUCUUCUCCCAGCAGAGGCUGUGUGCAAUUGCAAUCCAGGAUUAUACAAGCAGUAUUCUUUCCUUAUGAUUUCUAGUUGUAGACCUUUAUCCUCCUUUCUCUGCCUUCCUCGCAGCUGUAGAAUUGGCAUCUUUCCCUGAGGUUUUCCGAGUGGCAAGUGGCACCGGCUGUGGCAUGUAUUCAUGCCGCUUCCUAUGGCAUUUCUCUUCCGAUGUCUGCUUUUUCUUUGUUUGUUGUUGACUAGGCUGAAUGGUGGGGUUUUUUUUAAGUUAAUUAUAAACGAAGUUGAAAUAGCAAACAAGCCAACAGCUUGCCCCCCCCCCCACCAAAAGAAAAAUUAGCCCCACACAAGCGCCUUCUGCUGCAACAGAUGCCCAGAUCACCCCUGGCACGGGCAAACGGGCAAACGAUUUUGGUGGUUUUCAGUUUUUUCUGUUUGUUGCUGUAUUUGUUGUUUGUUUUCCUUGUUUCUUUUUGAUUUUUCGAGGAGUCCAGAAUCCCGGCCUCUGCUUGGAACGGAACAGUGUCAUGGCGGAGACGACGGCCUUUGUCUUGCUGGGUGUGAAAACAUCCGCUGUGCUGGCUCCACUGCGGCAGAAUCAAGUUUAAAGGAAAAAAAGUGAUUAAAGUCAGCUUUGUGCCUCUGUGGUGUGGAAGACCCCCAAACCCCAAGUAGCCGAAUCCCAGGGUCCGAGGAAGGGCUCAUAGUUGGAGCAGCCUAGGCUGUAAUCCUGGCACUUGCGCCUUCGGUUGCUGCUUGCUGUUCGCUCCUGGGGGUCUGGAUAAUCUCCCUUGGCUUUACCGCACUGUCUGGCCCGCAUACAGGGCCCCGUAUCAUAUACCCGCUGCUGCUAUCACACGAAACUGUGGCGUUGCCCCUGAAUGGAUGGCACCGUGCCAACUCUUCUGCCAUCCGCCCUUGCAGCUUUUUUCUUUUCUCCCUCCCUCCCCUUCUUCUUCUCCUCCUCCCGUCGACUUGACGUUAAUUAACACUCGGGUUAAUUGAUUUUAAAAGCCGAAGAAUUACAGUUAACUUUUCCCACAGGGUACAGACGCCAGCCGCUUGGCACACUCUGCUUUUCGCACUGGUGCAGGGGAACAGGGAAAGCCCGCAGCAAAGCUAGCAACUGCUGAGGGAGCGUUGCCUGCUUAUUGGAGUAGAGCCGAUAGAAGUCGACGUGGCAUUGCCUCAUCCUUUACAAUAUAUGUAGCCAUUAUAUAUUUUGUUAAAUAAUCAAAACACCACCCUGUUUUUCUUCUUCUCCGUUCCUCU